UACGGAGGGUGCAAGCGUUAUCCGGAUUCACUGGGUUUAAAGGGUGCGUAGGUGGGUAUGUAAGUCAGUGGUGAAAUCCCCGAGCUUAACUUGGGAACUGCCGUUGAUACUAUAUAUCUUGAAUAUCGCGUAGGUAAGCGGAAUAUGUCAUGUAGCGGUGAAAUGCUUAGAUAUGACAUAGAACACCAAUUGCGAAGGCAGCUUACUUCACGAUUAUUGACACUGAGGCACAAAAGCGUGGGGAGCAAACAGG
This 253-nucleotide ribosomal RNA is filed under the name uncultured bacterium. RNAcentral's name for it is "partial 16S ribosomal RNA". It matches the Rfam family "Bacterial small subunit ribosomal RNA", at positions 524 to 776 of the family's 1533-position model. The record is from RNAcentral.